RNAcentral lists this ribosomal RNA (254 nucleotides) under uncultured prokaryote. RNAcentral describes it as "partial 16S ribosomal RNA". It matches the Rfam family "Bacterial small subunit ribosomal RNA", at positions 524 to 777 of the family's 1533-position model. The record is from RNAcentral.
UACGGAGGAUGCAAGCGUUAUCCGGAUUUAUUGGGUUUAAAGGGUGCGAAGGUUGUUUGAUAAGUCAGUGGUGAAAGUCUGUCGCUUAACGGUAGGAUUGCCAUUGAUACUGUUGGACUUGAAUAUGGAUGAGGUAGGCGGAAUGUGUAGUGUAGCGGUGAAAUGCAUAGAUAUUACACAGAACACCGAUUGCGAAGGCAGCUUACUAAUCCAUCAUUGACGCUGAGGCACGAAAGCGUGGGGAUCAAACAGGA